This 254-nucleotide ribosomal RNA is filed under the name uncultured bacterium. Its description in RNAcentral is "partial 16S ribosomal RNA". It matches the Rfam family "Bacterial small subunit ribosomal RNA", at positions 524 to 776 of the family's 1533-position model. The record is from RNAcentral.
UACGGGGGGAGCAAGCGUUGUUCGGAUUUACUGGGCGUAAAGGGCGCGUAGGCGGUCAGCACAAGUCAGUUGUGAAAUCUCCGGGCUUAACUCGGAAAGGUCAACUGAUACUGUGCGACUAGAGUGCGGAAGGGGCAACUGGAAUUCUCGGUGUAGCGGUGAAAUGCGUAGAUAUCUGGAGGAACACCGGUGGCGAAGGCGGCAUCCUGGGCCGGUAUUGACGCUGAUGCGCGAAAGCCAGGGGAGCAAACGGG